CCUACGGGUGGCAGCAGUGAGGAAUAUUGGUCAAUGGACGAGAGUCUGAACCAGCCAAGUAGCGUGAAGGAUGACUGCCCUAUGGGUUGUAAACUUCUUUUAUAAAGGAAUAAAACGAGGCACGUGUGCCUUUUUGCAUGUACUUUAUGAAUAAGGAUCGGCUAACUCCGUGCCAGCAGCCGCGGUAAUACGGAGGAUCCGAGCGUUAUCCGGAUUUAUUGGGUUUAAAGGGAACGUAAAUGGGUUGUUAAGUCAGUUGUGAAAGUUUGCGGCUCAACCGUAAAAUUGCAAUUGAUACUGGCAGUCUUGAGUAUCGUUGAGGGAGGCGGAAUUCGAGGUGUAGCGGUGAAAUGCGUAGAGAUCACGAAGAACCCCGAUUGCGAAGGCAGCUUACUAAACUGUGACUGACAUUGAGGCGCGAAAGUGUGGGUAGCAAACAGGAUUAGAUACCCGAGUAGUC
This 460-nucleotide ribosomal RNA is filed under the name uncultured bacterium. RNAcentral describes it as "partial 16S ribosomal RNA". It matches the Rfam family "Bacterial small subunit ribosomal RNA", at positions 338 to 795 of the family's 1533-position model. The record is from RNAcentral.